GUGAAAAUCCUAGCGGGCCUCUAUUGGGCAGCUCCACACCCAAUCCCAAUCCCUCCACGUCCUCCACAUCCUGACUCGUUCCUCUCCCCCAAUCCUCCCGUCUCCCCCAAUCCCCUCAUCUCUCUCUUCUCCCCCAAUCCCUCCACAUCAUCCUCCAAAUUCCAUAGCGCCUCCAGCAGGUCUCGCGCUCCGCCUCGCCGGCUAGCAGCCCGUCGCGCCUCGCCGGCCGCCUUGUCGGGCGAGCAACCCGUCGCGAUGCCUGCGGGCCUCCUCCACAUGCCGGUCGCCUCGACGGGCGAGCAACAGAAGAACGCCAUGGGGCGAGCGCUUCACGAGCAGGAGCUCCGUGGUGAGCAGUGGUCGCUGCAUCUGCUCGCCAGGGCGGCUGCACCAGCGGGUGAAAACCCUAGCGCUCCCUCCCAAUCCCGAACGUCCCUCCUCCUCACCUUCAUCCUCAGCUCGAGCCCCUUCUGCUCUAGGGUUUCUGAUCCUAGCAGGUCAUGAGAAGGAAGAGCAGGCCGCUCCCGGUGGCCUUCUCCAAGGAGCGGUGGCGCGGUGCUCGGCUGCAAGGGGAAUAUGAGGCAGAGACCAAGAAGGAGAGCCAGGCUGCAGGAUAAAGAGGAGGAGCAGAAAGUGAUUUCGAAGCAAAUCAAUUUCAGCCAGAAGGAACUCAAAAUAGUGUUGGCAGGAGAUAUCACCAUAAUGCAAAAAUCUGCUGCAAGUCAAUUCAGGUUUUCUAGGUCAUUUACAAUUUACAAACCAGAUUCCAGUAGCAUUAAAUAUGACAGAAGACAUCGAAGGAGAAGAACUUUAUCUGAAGAAACAGAUGAAGUCCAAUGGGCAUGGCCAACAUUUUCCUACGAAGAAAACAAAUCAGGUUGCAAUGUAAUGUGCAGAGGUCCUCUUGGUCCCUGCAGCGCGUGGAGGUGGUUAGCCUCGGCCAGGUCAAGUUGUCGAUGCCGGUGAAGCUCUGUAUAUGCACUCCGUUCCUAGAGUUGGUGUUCGUCAUCCCCUUAUCUGAAAAUUCAUUUAGAAUAAGGCCACUUGCGCAUCCAGUGAAGGGUUGUGAUGCCGCGGUCUGUGCAACAUUGUCAUUGUCGUCAGAGGCAUACAAGAGAAGCCCAGUCCCAAGCCGGCAUCAUGGCCUCUACUUCCAAUAGAUCCUUUUCAGCAGUUUAUGGUCUAAUAGGAUUAGGGAUGUUGGAGGAUAAUUAUAAUUGUCAUCGAGGCAGUAGCAGGUCAAAAGUGAGGCCUAGAUUCAUUGACGCUGGAGGCUUGGUGUCACAUCUGGUGGCCAAGUAGAAAAUCAAAGCUACACAUACUGAUAAUGGAUAUGAAUGGAGAGUAUCCUCGCCAACCAGUUGUCACAGUACUCCCAUGGACGUGUUUCAAAAGGAUGGUGUGUACUGAAUAUGAGUUCAACACACUAAGGUGUACUUAUCAGUUCGUUCUUUCUAUGAAGCAUGUCACAUUGUCUGCAAGCUCACGGGGUACAUCUCCUCCUACUUCAUCUAAGGUUAUUAGGUUGUACUCCCUGCUCCCUUACUUACUCAUUUGUUGACUAUUUAUCUCUCGGAACUUCACGGUCAAUAUUUCCACUGCAUGCAACAGUGGCAUGAUGUGCCUUCGACUUCUUGCGCAAAAGUUGGUCAUAUAUUUCUAAAGUUUUGGGUAACUCAUAUUUUCUCACAUUCAACCUGUUGAAUCAAAUGAGAGUAGCCUGCAUGUAUAGUUCUUAGUCUUUCUAAAAUUAUCCAAUUCUCUAUGGGGGCCCUAAUAACUAGGUUGUUUUCAGAGAUAUGUACAGUGGGACCGGUGUCGGUUGGUGUUAGCUGAAACACAUGAUUAUUCACAUUAUUUUUAGCAGCUCUUAUAGUGGUACUUGCGGAUUAAUAUGGUCGGUCAUCAUAAUUUGUAGCAUUCUCUCUAUCGUGGUCAAUUGCGUCCUGAGGCUUUUUUGAUGGAUGAUUCACCAUUUUUGUUUGCAGCCUGGUUGAGUAUGUCUCUGAGCAUCUGUCCUCUCCUAGCUUUCUAAUUGUUAGCAUGUUUAUAUCUCUUGUGCAAGUUAAGAGUACCAGAUGUAGUUUGUAACCAUAUAAAUUUUGUAGCAGAUUUUACUUGUUCGGGUUCUAAUAGAAACUUGCCUAGCUUUUGAAAAAUCAUGCAUGUGUAUAUCAGUGAUCUGCAUCCAAGUCUGUAAAGCAUAUUGGUAGCAUAAUUUAUUUUGAAGCAGUUUUCUCCAUCUUAUAGUGUAUGUUCAGGUUUUCAGCACACAAUUGGUUUUUCCUUUUCUUUUUGUCUUUUGCUUUUUAUAGUUGAAGAAAUAAAGAGAAAUCCAAUUAUUGUCAUUUUUCGCUUCCAGCUUGUAUUUAAAUUUGGAUUACACUACCAGUGCAAUGUAAACCAGAUAUGGUAUGUCUACUUGAUAAUCGAUCACUAUUUCUGGUAUGUCACAGCUAUCGUAGAUAAGCGAUCACUAUUUCCACUUCAUCUUUUUUUUAUGGUACGCAGAUUCUUUUAUAUAUACCUACAAGUUGUUUGAUGAGAAUUUAAUUAUGCUGCAAGGGGAUAUUCUUCUAUUUAAUGUUUAUGCCAUGUUGUGUACUCAUUUCUUUUUUAGUCAGCUCAAGUAAACGAUGAGAAGUUGAGUAGUCUGUCAGGCUGCAUCUUUCGGCAAUCACUGCAGACAGACAGCGACGACCUGAUGCAAGAUGUUAUCAAUCCCCACCCUUCUCCCUUAUUGAUCUCCCUUGUUUUCUACAGUAAUACAGAAUUUUGUAAUAUUUUGGUUCAGAAAAUUGAUCGGUUGUAUUCUGUAUAUAUAGAGGUUGAUGUAAAUUAUCGAUUGCACUUGUCCUAUACUAAUUAGCUACUCCUGUAAAAUUCCAUCGUCAUAUAAUCACAAAGAGAUCAUAACCUUCGAUUUCUUAGGGAUGUUUUCAAUAGUUGGAUAAGAUGUCUACCACACAAUUUAUACAAAGAACAAUAUCAUGCUACAUGUCCUAGACCUGUCAAGGAAGUUCAUCAAUUGUUUACUUCUCAUUAGUUUCUGCAAUAUAACAUUUUCCCUACAGAUCAGAUCUUCGUUUCUUUAUACCUGAAAUUUCCCUGAUUCUAAUAUGCAAGAAUGAGAACUACCAAAUCAAGAACCGCAAGUGGGACAAGAGAAUUACCAAAUGGAAAUCACGAGACAGAGAGAGGGUUGGCCUUGCCGCCUCGCCGGCCGGCCGGAGGGUAGCUCGAGCUGAGUCCGUGCUGCUGAGCUGCACAACGUGCGGCCUUGACACAAGACGAACGAGUCUCCAGUAGACCGCCGCCGCCACCCAGCGGCCAGCGCCACCGGCGGCUGGUCAUCCCAACCGCUCAUGGGGCACACCGCCAAACAGUCAGCCGCUUUCACAGACGAGAGAUAAGAGGAUUGUUGUUCGUAUCCAUGCGUUCGAGGCU
Lolium perenne is the source of this 3447-nucleotide long non-coding RNA. RefSeq lists it as uncharacterized. The record is from RefSeq and is a predicted model, not a curated record. NCBI's taxonomy places the organism in Eukaryota, Viridiplantae, Streptophyta, Magnoliopsida, Poales, Poaceae.